This is a long non-coding RNA of Oncorhynchus tshawytscha (Chinook salmon), 802 nucleotides long. The record is from Ensembl. NCBI's taxonomy places the organism in Eukaryota, Metazoa, Chordata, Actinopteri, Salmoniformes, Salmonidae.
GGGCUACAUGGCUACAGGGUUACAGGGCUACAGGGCUACAUGGCUACAGGGCUACAGGGUUACAGGGCUACAGGGCUACAGGGCUACAGGGUACAGGGUUACAGGGCUACAGGGGUACAGGGCUACAGGGGUACAGGGCUACAGGGGUACAGGGCUACAGGGCUACAGGGUUACAGGGUUACAUGGCUACAGGGCUACAGGGUUACAGGGUUACAGGGCAACAGGUCUACAUGGCUACAGGGCUACAGGGUUACAGGGCUACAGGGUUACAGGGUUACAGGGUUACAUGGCUACAGGGUUACAUGGUUACAGGGUUACAGGGCUACAUGGUUACAUGGCUACAGGGUUACAGGGUUACAGGGUUACAUGGCUACAGGGUUACAGGGCUACAGGGUUACAGGGUUACAUGGCUACAGGGCUACAUGGCUACAGGGCUACAGGGCUACAGGGUUACAGGACUACAGGGUUACAGGGCUACAGGGCUAGAGGGUUACAGGGCUACAGGGUUACAGGGUUACAUGGCUACAGGGCUACAGAGCUACAGGGUUACAGGGUUACAUGGCUACAGGGCUACAGGGUUACAGGGUUACAGGGCUACAGGGCUACAUGGCUACAGGGCUACAGGGCUACAGGGUUACAGGGCUACAGGGAUACAUGGCUACAGGGUUACAGGGCUACAGGGCUGCAGGGCUACAGGUUUACAGAGCUACAUGGCUACAUGGCUACAGGUUUACAGAGCUACAGGGCUACAUGGCUAUAGGGUUACAGAGCUACAGGGCUACAGGGUUACAGGGCUACAGGG